Molecule: ribosomal RNA, 181 nt
Filed under: Chaetothyriales sp.
Lineage: Eukaryota; Fungi; Ascomycota; Eurotiomycetes; Chaetothyriales
Description: partial small subunit ribosomal RNA
Source: RNAcentral
UAAAUAGCCAGGUUGACUUUUGUCGGCCGCCGGCUUCUUAGAGGGACUUUUGGCUCAAGCCAAUGGAAGUACGGGGCAAUAACAGGUUGACCUUGAGUCACAAACUCAUCACAGGCCUGUUACAGCGAGCCUCGCUGAAAAAUAAUUCGCUAGUUGAGUGUCUUUAUCCCUUUGGCGGAAG